CUCAAAUUUGUUUUAAGCCAGAUAUCAGCUUCUCUGGAAUUCAAGAGAGAGAACAAAAAGGAGCAAAAAAUGGGUAUGAGACUAGUGUCUCAGGUCAAUUUCAGUUUGGCAAUAUUGCUAACUAUGCAGUUGGCAAUAGCAGCAGCACCCAUGGCGAAGCCCAACUGCACAGAUCAUUGCGGAAGUAUUAGCAUUCCAUACCCAUUUGGAAUUGGUAAGGAUUGUUAUAUGGAGGACUGGUUUGAGAUUGAGUGCGACAACACAAUUAAUCCUCCUAGACCAUUAUUAAGUCGCUUCAACAUGGAAGUGUUCCGUAUUGAUCUUGGUAGCAGCGCAGUUGAAGUCGAAAGUCCAAUAAUAUCCUCCAAUUGUUCAGGCAGGGAAGACGGUAUGCCUGUGAAUUUGACCGGAAGUCCUUUCCUUUUGUCCGACGAGAAUGUGUUCACUGCAACAGGCUGCAACACUCGUGCUUUAGUCACCUAUAAUUCGCCCCAACUGGUUGGUUGCGAUUCAACCUGCCUUGGCGAGCAGAAUGAUGUUGAUUGGCGAGAAAUGCUUCCUAAAAUCAUGAGAAAAGGUUCCGAUGGAAAUUGGCUACGGGAGUAUUGUAGUGGAUACAAUUGCUGCCAAACGAUAAUACCUUCAUUGGUUCAGGUUUUCAAUCCAAUUUUACAGGAUAAAGAAGGGAAUCAAAACAAAGGUGGUUGCAAGUUGGCAUUUAUAGCAGGCGGAGCAGGAACCAUUUUCCAGAGAAACAAGGAUCCAUAUGUGCAGUUUCCAAUGCUGAUAGAUUGGAUGAUCAACUCCAGCCGAAAGAAAGAUGUUGACUGGGAAACCGUGAAUUGCUUUAAUUACUCUGAUAAUUCUUUCAAUGAGCCCGUGUUCCGUUGUUCUUGCAAGAAUGGGUAUGAGGGCAAUCCUUACCUUAGAUGCACAGAUAUUGAUGAAUGCA
RNAcentral lists this unclassified non-coding RNA (952 nucleotides) under Hevea brasiliensis (rubber tree). The record is from RNAcentral. Lineage: Eukaryota; Viridiplantae; Streptophyta; Magnoliopsida; Malpighiales; Euphorbiaceae.